GCAAGUCGAACGGUAACAGCGGAGCUUGCGUCCGGCUGACGAGUGGCGCACGGGUGCGUAACGCGUAUACAAUCUACCUUUUACAGGGGUAUAGCCUUUAGAAAUGAAGAAUAAUCCCCCAUAAUAUCUUAUUAGUGGCAUCAUUAAAAGAUUAAAGCUUCGGUGGUAAGAGAUGAGUAUGCGUUCUAUUAGCUAGUAGGUGAGGUAACGGCUCACCUAGGCGACGAUAGAUAGGGGCCCUGAGAGGGGGAUCCCCCACACUGGUACUGAGACACGGACCAGACUCCUACGGGAGGCAGCAGUGAGGAAUAUUGGACAAUGGGCGCAAGCCUGAUCCAGCCAUGCCGCGUGCAGGAAGACUGCCCUAUGGGUUGUAAACUGCUUUUAUAUAGGAAGAAACCAUUCUACGUGUAGAGUGCUGACGGUACUAUAAGAAUAAGCAUCGGCUAACUCCGUGCCAGCAGCCGCGGUAAUACGGAGGAUGCAAGCGUUAUCCGGAAUCAUUGGGUUUAAAGGGUCCGUAGGUGGAUAGAUAAGUCAGAGGUGAAAUCCUGCAGCUCAACUGUAGAAUUGCCUUUGAAACUGUUUAUCUUGAAUUAUGGUGAAGUGGUUAGAAUAUGUAGUGUAGCGGUGAAAUUCAUAGAUAUUACAUAGAAUACCAAUUGCGAAGGCAGAUCACUAACCAUAUAUUGACACUGAUGGACGAAAGCGUGGGUAGCGAACGGGAUUAGAUACCCCGGUAGUCCACGCCGUAAACGAUGGUCACUAGCUGUGUGGAUUUC
This 782-nucleotide ribosomal RNA is filed under the name uncultured bacterium. Its description in RNAcentral is "bacterial SSU rRNA". It matches the Rfam family "Bacterial small subunit ribosomal RNA", at positions 57 to 832 of the family's 1533-position model. The record is from RNAcentral.